RNAcentral lists this small nuclear RNA (144 nucleotides) under Dacryopinax primogenitus. RNAcentral describes it as "U4 spliceosomal RNA". It matches the Rfam family "U4 spliceosomal RNA". From Rfam's summary of the family: U4 small nuclear RNA (U4 snRNA) is a component of the major U2-dependent spliceosome. Lineage: Eukaryota; Fungi; Basidiomycota; Dacrymycetes; Dacrymycetales; Dacrymycetaceae. The record is from Rfam by way of RNAcentral.
UCUCUUGUGCUCGGGCACGAGCUGUCGACAGUGAGGUCUUUACCGAGUCACAGCCAAUUGCUAGUUGCAAACUAAGCAUCCGAACGCGUCGAUGAGUCUAUGACUCUUCGCAAUUUUUGGCAAAACCUAACCAAUAAACAUGUU